AGCUGCCUGAACGCCUCUGUGGAUCGGCCUCGCCUUGCUUCAGGCAACACCAAGGCAGAAAGGCAUGAAAACCAGGGCUCUCCUGCAGCAUCCACCACCCCUCUGCUGUGGGCGCCGUCAAAAAGCAUGUGUGGGCCUUCUGCCAGGAACUCCCUGGCAGGGCAUGGCUGCAAAGCCAAGCCUCCCUGGCGGUAAAGUGAAACCUCACUCCAUGUGUAUGUACAGCCCUCACCUAUGUGACCUGGGGAUUGACCACCUGGCGAGGAUGUCUGCAAGGACCUGGGACUGAUGGAGACCAUGACAGCAGGGCUGCGCUAUGCAGGAGGAUGAACAAAGUGAUCACAGCACUGAAUGGACAAUAACCUGGGCAGGAGGCAGUCCUGCAGUAGUGGAGUGGGAUGUCUGGCUGUGGUGGCAACAGCAAUUUCCACCAACCAGCAAUCUUCAGAAAAGAUGAGCAGGUGGAUGCUGUGGAGCAAAUCAACAAACUGAAGUAACUGUCCUGAAACUGCCUCAGAGAACUGCUGAACCUGAAAGCAGGAUGCAAAGUGCAAUAGCAAAGUGCUGGAGUAACUGAAAGAUGAAGCCUCUGAAAAUGAAGAGGGAUUUUAUCUAAGAAAACAUGGUGGCUCGGCUCUGCUGUAUGACCAGGUACGGCCAACUCACCCCCAGCUGCUGUACUCAUACGCCCUCCCUACCUUUGACCCAACCCUGACUCCUCAUCUUGUCUCCCAGGAGCGUAUCAGGCUUCCUGAUUAGGGAACUGCUUAGCUUCCAAGAUCAGCUGUGCCCAGCUCCAGGUCCUGCCAGGAGCAGCCUGUAUCAGACAGCUGUACGUGCGGUCAGUGUUAGCUCGCUCUGCCCAGCCUGCAGGUGUGACGUGCCGCUUGUGGUGCUGCCGCAGCCUAUCACAGUGCUCUGUGCAGGUGGUGGCAGAGCCGAGGCAGUGGCUGGGGAUAGCAGGUAGUCCCAUGCGUGAGCUGCUUGCUUGGUGCUUGCAAUUGAUUUGCUACAGCGCUGCUUUCAACUGAAACCGGCAGUACGUUAUGGCAGAGCAGUGUCUCAUCCUGCCUGGAGACACUGGAGCCCGGCAGUGACCACGCGCAGGCAGCAGCCCGACACAGCAGCACUGCAG
Molecule: long non-coding RNA, 1135 nt
Filed under: Gallus gallus (chicken)
Lineage: Eukaryota; Metazoa; Chordata; Aves; Galliformes; Phasianidae
Description: long non-coding RNA NONGGAT002993
Source: RNAcentral